This 1193-nucleotide ribosomal RNA is filed under the name Helicotylenchus dihystera. RNAcentral describes it as "eukaryotic LSU rRNA". The stretch from base 1 to 194 matches the Rfam family "Eukaryotic small subunit ribosomal RNA". Lineage: Eukaryota; Metazoa; Nematoda; Chromadorea; Rhabditida; Hoplolaimidae. The record is from RNAcentral.
UUGAUUACGUCCCUGCCCUUUGUACACACCGCCCGUCGCUGCCCGGGACUGAGCCAUUUCGAGAAACUCGGGGAUUGUUAGGCUUUGCGGCUUUCGGGUCGAACUGCCGAUGAGAACCGAUUUAAUCGCAGUGGCUUGAACCGGGCAAAAGUCGUAACAAGGUAGCUGUAGGUGAACCUGCUGCUGGAUCAUUACCCACCUGAUCAUAUACUACCUAACACUUGUUGUAGCCGGCUGGAGUUGGCAUGAAUGCCCAAAUGGCUUGACGACCCGAGAGGUCCGAGAGCUGCAGGCCUUCUCCGAUGGUUUGCAACGCCCUGUGGGCUUGCACACAGGUUGGGGUGCUUACUUGGUGCAUAGUGGCGCACACAUCCCUCUCGGCUANAGGGGCGAUGAGACCAGGCGGAAAGCUGCGCUAUGUGCUGGGAGGCACGCCCCAGGGGCACGAACGGUGUCGUUGGCGUCUAUGCGUUGUUGAGCAGUUGUUGGCACUUGYUGUGKUCGAAGGYUUACUGACAUGGUUAUUGCGGYACCUUGUGAUUGCCUCCAUGUCCUGCCAAUGAGCARSUGGGGAAUGUAUGGCUUUUGAMCAUGCUCUUUGUGUGCUACGUCCGUGGCUGUGAUGAGACGAACGCGGGAGGGUCUGGCCAUGCGCCCGGUCAGGCCCAGACUUGAUGAGCCCCUUGCACGUUGGCCGCCAACAAACCCUUUUUUUCAAUACAUUUUUUCAGUCGGCACUUUGUGCUGCAAUAGUAAAAUUCUAGUCUUAUCGGUGGAUCACUCGGCUCGUAGGUCGAUGAAGAACGCAGCCAACUGCGAUAAGUAGUGUGAACUGCAGAAACCUUGAACACAGAACAUUCGAAUGCACAUUGCGCCAUUGGAGAUACAUCCUUUGGCACGCCUGGUUCAGGGUCGUAACCCUAAAAAGCACAGCGUGUGCUUGUCAGUUGCGCGAUCAACAGGUGAGACCAUACCGUUGUUCGUGCAUUGGUGUUUGGUGCGCCCGUACAGUGAGGAGUCGCGCUGGCAUGGACUUUGAUUGCAAUUCGUUUGCGUCCAUGUUCUGCCAAUGAGCAGCCAGGGUGUGACUUUUGCUUGUAUUGGGUGGCGAACUUUUGAAAGCGAAAUCAACAUUUCGACCUGAACUCAGACGUGAUCACCCGCUGAACUUAAGCAUAUCAUUUAGCGGAGGA